AACAUCGCGCACCUGCGGGAACCUGCGGAGGUAUCAUUACAGAGUUGCAAAACUCCCUAAACCAUUGUGAACGUUACCUAAACCGUUGCUUCGGCGGGCGGCCCGGGUCCUUCCCGGCGCCCCUCGGCCCUCGCGGGCGCCCGCCGGAGGUAAACCAAACUAUUGCAUUGUAUGGCCUCUCUGAGUCUUCUGUACUGAAUAAGUCAAAACUUUUAACAACGGAUCUCAGAUCGGAAGAGC
Molecule: unclassified non-coding RNA, 240 nt
Filed under: soil metagenome
Description: partial contains 5.8S ribosomal RNA, internal transcribed spacer 2, and large subunit ribosomal RNA
Source: RNAcentral